GCAUGUUGGUAAAUGCUAAGUAAGUGCAUAUAAGCAUGUCAUGAUGAAAUGCUAGAUGAAUAGAUGCAUGUAACUAACGCUAAGAGAAUGCAUUUGGGCAUAAUGGAUAGAGGCAUGUCGAUGAAUGCAAGUAGAUAAUGCAUGUUAUAGAAAUGCUAGCUAAGCUGCAUGAUUACAUGACGAGCAUAAUGUAGAUAAUGCAUGUUAUAGAAAUGCUAACUAAGUGCAUGAUUACAUGAUGAGCAUUGUGAGGAUAUGCUUGAUUCAGAUGAGUCAAACAUAGGUUGAACAGAAAUGACAUGAACCUAGUGUUAGAGAACAUAGGUCGGGUCUGAACGACAGUGAACCUAAAGUCAUGAACAUAGGUUGAACGUGAAUGACAGGGAACCUAGUGUCGUGAACCUAGGAAAGAUCGAGUAGCAUCUAACCUAGUGUCAAAGAACAUAGGUUGGACAUCAAGUGGCAUUAAACCUAGUGUCUUGAACAUAGGUUGAAUAAGUAUAGUGUGAACCUAGUGUCAUGUAUGUUAGGACACUUAUGGUAUUUGAGCAUAUUUAUAUUUGUAGUCAUGCAUUAUAGGGUGUUUGGCAUUGUGCGAGUGAAAAUGUGAAUUACUAUCAACAGUAAGAACUUGUGAACCUUAGAAUGUGGACAUAGAACCCUAUGAAUGCAUGGACUAUAACAAUAGUGAACUUGGUGACAUUCUAACUAGAGAUUUGGUUAGCAUCGAGCAAUAAAAUUGUGAAACUAGCAUAAAGAGCUAGUUAGAGUUCAAUUGUGGCAUGGCCAGUUAUUGAAUCCUCUAAAGGAGGAUUGGAUCUUACUCACAUAGUCUGUUUUUAGCUUGGUGGAGGUCGCUCCCCCCAGGCAGUGAGCUCCGGAGUUGUCACACGAUGGGCUAACGUACUUGCCCUUGGACUAACGUACUUGUCCAGCAGACGGUCCCUAGGGUGGUUCGAGUCCCCCGUUAUUAAGGGAUUUUGGGUUGUGAGUUAUUGGGGUUAACAAGUGUUAACCGGUAAGAUUGGGUAAAAGCCAAAGUGAUUGGGAAAAAGCAUGCAUUAUGAGCUAUAGAUUGGGUAUCCUUGUCGAGUGGAUUUUGGGGCUGAGGUGUAUGUGAGACGUCCAUUACCUCGAGUCUGGAUGUAUGCGGUAUUCCGCAGAUGAUUGACUCAAGACCGAGUCGGAUGGAUAGCUUUGUUAAGGUAAUAGAAACCUUAAAGCUAGUGGCAAAGGCAAGAACUAAGGUAGUAGAGACCUUAGAAACAAGUUGAGCUUGGUAAUGGAACUAAGGUAAGUAGAAACCUUAGGGGUAAAGGACUUGAGCUGAGAUUAGCCAGUGGAAUGUAGAGUCAAUGGACCUACUAGUGAAUAGUGGAUUAUAUAGAUGCAUAGUGGCAUAGAAAUGCAUGAUAUCCAUAUUGCAUAUCGUGAGGCAAUGCAAGGUUUCAUUAGUUGCAUAAUUUAGAUAUAUAUAUAUCUAUCUGUUUAUUGAACUAACCUGCAGGUUGCCUCUCUUUGACCUAUUGGUCGAGCUUUUCCCUUGGGUGGCCGUACCCACUGGGAACCAUGGAGUUGGUUCUCACCCCACGUUGUUUUGGGGUGUUACAGGUUCGCACGUGAGCGGCGCGGCGGCGCGAGGCAAGGGCGUAGCUUCGUAGAUAGCGCCCUACCCAGAGACCAGAGUUAGCAGUACCCCGUCGACAUAGCUUAGGGGUAUGGGGUGUUAUUAAUGAAAAGAACACAAUGUAUCAACGUGUAAAUAAAUUUGUAAGAACUUAGAUUGCAUUUGGAUGAAAAAGAAUGUAAAAAGAACUGUGAUGUAAAAAGUAUGAAUGUAAAUGUUUGUAAUAAUAUAGGAUGUGUUUAUGUUGUUUGAUACCUUCCAUUAUGCAAUCUUGAUUGAUAUCAGUUCCUGAUUGGAACCUUCGUAUUGUAUGGAUUGCGUUGCCUUGAAUGUACAGGGGAGACUCUGUCCGCAGUACAGGGGAAACCCUGUCCAUUUGGCACUGUUGGCGGCGCCGCGAACCCGACCAAAUAGGCGGCGGUCGCGGGUCGUGACAGAAGAUGGUAUCAGAGCAUAAAGUAGAAAAUGGGGAAAUGGUUUAGGGAGACCUAGGAGACCCUAGGAUAGUAAACCAUAGGAGAAUAAGGCUCGUGAGAGACGAGAACUUGUUACUUGUGGCGAAAGGUUUAUGGAUUUGGUCGUGUCGUAAGCCUCUAAAACGGAUGUUAGAGGUAGACUCGAGGUUUAGUUUAUUCUCAACCGAGAGUGUUCAUGUUGGGUAUACACAACAUGAAACCUGGUGAUGAGAAUAAGCUCCCUUGUAUGACUUUCGCCCGAUUUGAAUCAGUGUCAAUUGUUUCACGCUCGACCUUGAGGGUCGAGAAUCGACCGAGUUGUCGUGUCUUAGGAAGCGAGGGCACCGCGUAGGCGAUCUUCAGGUAGAUCGGCGCGGGUUGGGACGAGUGUCGUUCCUCAGCAAUCCGAGGCGAGCGGAGAUUUGGGACUUCGUGGGAAAUUGGCCACUACUGUGUGAGUGGCGGGGUGACGAGCCGAAUUAGUGCGGCGUCAGCAGGAAGCUGCCGUAUGCCAGGAGGAGCGAAUGAGAAGACUCCAGGAAACGAUAGAUCAGCUGGGGGCCGUACCAGCUGCCGUUCGUCGAGUACGACCGGGAGUUGCGACGGAAGUAUUUCCGUCGGGGUUGAACAAUCUGGCUUUUAGCAUCUCGGAAGCAAAGACGUUGAGGGUGCCAGCUUUGGCGGCCCUCGUGACCUUUAAGCGAUUUGAUCCGUCUGCCUUUGAUAGAGAGAAUACGGAUCCGUUGAUCGUGGAGUUGUGGGUCGACUCCAUGGAAACUCCCUUUGGGGACUUGUGUACUGUAGAGUGGGAUAAGGUACACCUAGCCGUGCGUUACUUGCAAACAAUCGGCGGAGGUGUGGUGGAAAGGCAUUCGACGGAAUCGAUUGCCUAGUUUUCCUCCUAUGAUUCGGAAUGAGUUUCGAGGAUCAAUAUUCCCUGUUUACUUUCCCGAUGCUGAGAAAGAAAAGCUUCAGGAAAGGUUCCCGAAGCUACGGAGGUAGACCGUGCCGUGAGGGAAUAUGAGCGGAAAUUCUCUCGUAUCGUGAGUUGUGUCCCGAACGUAGUGCGGGAUGACAAGGAAUUGGCCGAUGUGCCUCUGCGGAGACCUUGGCCGGACGUGGUCGAGGUGGUGCAUGUAAGGAAGUUACUUCUCGGAAUACGAGAGUUAGACUUCGCUUAGAAUCGACCAAGGGUCGUGUUGGUGUGCUUCGGAAAAGCCGAAGAUGUUUAAGUCACCAAAAGUGCGUUGGAGUUGGAGUCCACGAGAGCAAAUAGUGCAAAGUCUGCACUUGGCGGAGAUUGCUCUCGGGGACCGGUCCUUGGCAGGGAGAGACCGCUCCCCGUAGCUGUUGGUCGCGGGGUUGCUUGAUGCAACUGGUCCUUGGGCCAGAGGAACCGGUCCCCGUAGCUUGAAAUUGCCCAGUUUUGGGCAGUGCACAUUCUUGAGUUGUGGUUGCAAUCCCAACCGAGGAAGUGUCAUCUACUUAACGUUUCGGGAUGUGGGAUUGUAGAAGUUCUCACCAGGCACAGCGGUGUGCGCUGCGUGAUGAAAAGUGAUUUGUUGGGGAUAGCCAGACCUUAGGAUUGGCGAUGGCUUUCUCCUCUCCGAGACAACCUGCAGGUGUGUCACCUACAGCCUGGUCUGGAGAGUGAGUGGCGAGGAGGUGACAACCGAAGGGUUCGCAGCUGGUGCCAAGAGGUCGUGGAUAUGCAAACCGGGUUGUGAAACCUGCUGCUAUCGACGAUAUCGUGGCAGUUAUGAGUUAAUUGAAGCAAGCAUAGGCUUCUGUAGGAUGUGAAGUUGGUGCAUGCAUGCAUAUACCAUGUGGUCAGUUACUACAAUCGAUAUGGCAUCGUAGUAGGGACCGGAGGGACGGGUAAGCGUAGGUACCCGGGCAUGCUUGCAUUGUGAGAGCGUAUCACCUGUUUGAGCAGGUAGAGAGCUAGAUAGCACUAGCAGAUGCUGGUGAUGAUUGUGGGACGAGAAAUGAGACUCGUGGUAAAGACGAAACGGUGAAGUGACUCUCAAGACAACGGGUAGUUGAAUGUGAGAGUUGCGCCGUGACCUUGAGGAUACCCGAGUAGUCCGAGUAUUCGGAUAUAGAUCCGGUAGGUUGAACAGUGGAAAGUAGACUCACUGUCGAGAGAAUAGCCGGUUACAUGCUGAGUACAGGCACGUAGGCCUAGUAGUACCUCAGUUUGAGGUUGGAAGUUGCGCUUGUUUGGUCGGCGUGCAUAGGCAGCGUUGCCUAUUGCUGGAUGUAGUGUGGAACGCUAUAGAGACGUACGACGUAAAGAGCGCUCGAGUAUAGAUACUCGUAGAGUGCGGAUUUGACUCAGCCGGAAGAGUGUGUUGGCAGUAGCACUUCAGCAUUGCUAGUGUGAAGCGGGCCAUGGAACACUCGUAGGGCUGGUGGCUCGCACUAGGUGCUUAGGAGCCGAUAGUGGUAUAUGUGACUCGAUAGAGUGUGUCGUGUAGGACGACGACGGCGGGUAGUGCUUGGGGACGACCCGUGCCUGGACUAUUUGUGGACUGUGGAGCCUGGACCCAUUGGGCAGGCGCAGUCAGCUGUGAGAGACAGCGGCCCGAUACCUACGGGUGGGGCAGAGUUUUGGUCAGGGCGGUAGUCCGAGCUUGGACCCGAGUGCGUGGAAUGCCACGUGUGGAUCAUGAGAUCGAGGAUACACCGAGUGUGUAGUGACCCAACCCAAGGAUUUGACGUGGUUUGGGGUCCUAGUUGCUCCUGGUUGGAGUGUGUGCGAAUUCUCCAAUGAGAAUUUCGCCGAAUAAUAAUGAUUGGGUCUACGCUAGUGAGCGAGAGAUGCUACGCGUAGUUGAGACCGGUUUAGGCGAUAGGCCUACGUAGGGUUGGUGACCCGUGGUUCACCUGUGGAUUUAAGGAAAGGGAUUGAGCGAGUAGCCUUAUCGACGAGUUUAGGCUUGAAUUUACGAACGGGAGUUCAUGUGAGUUCGUUGCAAGAACGAGUUGAUGAUGAUCGUGGCAUAUGGUAUUCAAGGAUAUACUGCUCGUGCGAGACAUUGAGCUAUUGGAAGCCACGAGAGAUAGAGGAUCGAAGUUGAUGCUCCUAAGUGAAUUGGGGCUUGAGGAUAAUGCUCUUUGAUGGAUUGAGAUUGGAGAUGUGCCGAAAUGUGCCAUCUCAUAAUAGAGCAAAGAUCCAUAUGUAGUUGGAGCACUCGCGAUUGGUCGAUGCACCCAUGAUAUUGCUUCUAAGCAAUGUCGGUGAUCGAAUCGGAGUGUGUUCCCUGACAGGAAGGUAAAUGCAAAGAAGAGUUCUUGCAUACCAAGUGGUGAAUGAUGUUGUAGCGCGUAGAGUCGUUGAGUUCCGACUUGCGCUACCACAAAGAAUGGCGGAGACCCGUAAUGCACUUUCGGGGUUAUGCUUAACAAAUGUGAGUGAAUCUGGUCUCACAUUCCCCGUAGUGGGCCUUUGGACAGUUCCAAUGAGCAUAAGGCCACUCUGAGGUGGAAAAGUGCAUUGUACACCUUGAUACUCGAUAAGUUAAGUUGGGGUGCAAAUUGGAGUUGGAUUUAUUUGAGUUUCGAGGACGAAACUCCUUUUAAGGAGGGGAGAAUGUAACAUACCGAACUUCUAAAAUCAUGAAGUUACGGUGUACAUUUAAAUGUUUCCGGUGAGGUUGCGGUGGAAUGUAACAUACCGGAUUUUAAAUAUAAAAAUAAAAAUAAAUAAAAAUAGUAUGAGAUACUAUUUUUAUUGGGUUUAGAGAAGUGAAAUAUAGAUUGGAAAUGACCUGUGCUGAAAUCGGAGUGAAAACAGAAAACUUAGAAUUUUCUGUUGGAAUCGGGGCAGAUAAAUUAGCAGAAAAUGCACAGUGUCAGAAAAUAUUAAAAAUUGGAGGAUAUGUCAGAAAUAUUUUUAUGAGGUUAGAUUUAAAGUUUCAUAUUUUUCUGACACCUGGAAGGUGAAAAAUAAAAUCCAACAAGUUAUCUACUAAGGAUUACAGUUCGGUAAAGUUUUCAGUGUCCAAACGGGGUCGAAACUGAAAUAUUAAAAUUUCUUUGGACUUAUUAAGUAAAACCGAGCAUGCCUGUCAAAUUUGAGCGAAAACGGACAUCCAGAAGGGCUCCGGCGAAAAAUAAACUGCCCGAAGUGAAUAGUGCAUAGUUGAGGGGCAAAAUGGUAAAAAGGGACUUAAACCCUUUUAUCCUCCUUCCUCCCCAACCGUGGCUGCCCCAAACCGAACCACACACACAUACAAGCACACACGCAUGGAAAGGAAAGGAGAGAAAUCUCUUUCUCUCUCUAGAUCUCUCCUGAAACGGAUGGAUUUGGUGGAGAUUGAAGCUUGGAGGUGGAUCGCCUUCGUCUUCUUCAUCUUCUCCAUAGUUUGGAGCUUAUUUUGAGGUGAGCUUUUCGAUCCCUUUCAUGGUAGAUCUCCAAAGCUUUAUUUAUAAUUCAUAGAAAUGGAUUUGUUGGAAUCCUAUGAUGCUAAAUAGGUGAUUGUUGCUUAAGUUAUGGAUCAAUUUAGUGAAUUUUGCCAUACUUGAAACCUAGGGCUCCAAAAUGCAAAUUUUGCUAGGAGAUGGGUUUGAUCUAAAUUAACCCUCCGUUAACCUAAUUGUUAGGUAAACAAACGCAUUGGCGAAGACGGUUCGGCAAUCCGACGAGCCGUUGCGAAGUUAUUAAAGAAACGGAUGUUUAGGCUUCGGGUCCGCCGGGAGGGCCGAGGCGACGUCGUAAAAUCCUGGAAACGGAUUUGAAGCACCGUAACAGCAAAUCGAAGACCCUUUUUACCCGGGGCUGCGAAGCGAUGCGCGAUUGGUGAGUAAUUUCGAGUUCGGGCCGAACCGGGCACCGGGUGCCGCGGGAGGCCGAUUGCAAGUGUCGACAAGCAAUCGGAACGCGAAUCGAGGUGGGUUGUGCUUACCGAAGCGACUAGAUCGCCUUUAUGUCUAAGAAAAUAUGAUUUCUUAUGAUGCAUAUAGAAAGCAUGUUAUGGUAAUGCUAGUAAUUGCAUAAUUACAUGAUGAGCAUUAUGGCAUAAUGGAUAUAUGCAUAUUAGCAUGUGAGGAAAGUGUGAGAUGAAUACAUGAUGAGCAUAAUGUAGAAAUGCAUGUUAACAUUAUGAAAUGCUGGAUGAGAGAUUCAUAUAGAAAUGAAUGAUAAUGAAUGCAAGCUGAUAAAUGCAUGUUGGUAAAUGCUAAGUAAGUGCAUAUAAGCAUGUCAUGAUGAAAUGCUAGAUGAAUAGAUGCAUGUAACUAACGCUAAGAGAAUGCAUUUGGGCAUAAUGGAUAGAGGCAUGUCGAUGAAUGCAAGUAGAUAAUGCAUGUUAUAGAAAUGUUAGCUAAGCUGCAUGAUUACAUGACGAGCAUAAUGUAGAUAAUGCAUGUUAUAGAAAUGCUAACUAAGUGCAUGAUUACAUGAUGAGCAUUGUGAGGAUAUGCUUGAUUCAGAUGAGUCAAACAUAGGUUGAACAGAAAUGACAUGAACCUAGUGUUAGAGAACAUAGGUCGGGUCUGAACGACAGUGAACCUAAAGUCAUGAACAUAGGUUGAACGUGAAUGACAGGGAACCUAGUGUCGUGAACCUAGGAAAGAUCGAGUAGCAUCUAACCUAGUGUCAAAGAACAUAGGUUAGACAUCAAGUGGCAUUAAACCUAGUGUCUUGAACAUAGGUUGAAUAAGUAUAGUGUGAACCUAGUGUCAUGUAUGUUAGGACACUUAUGGUAUUUGAGCAUAUUUAUAUUUGUAGUCAUGCAUUAUAGGGUGUUUGGCAUUGUGCGAGUGAAAAUGUGAAUUACUAUCAACAGUAAGAACUUGUGAACCUUAGAAUGUGGACAUAGAACCCUAUGAAUGCAUGGACUAUAACAAUAGUGAACUUGGUGACAUUCUAACUAGAGAUUUGGUUAGCAUCGAGCAUAAAGAGCUAGUUAGAGUUCAAUUGUGGCAUGGCCAGUUAUUGAAUCCUCUAAAGGAGGAUUGGAUCUUACUCACAUAGUCUGUUUUUAGCUUGGUGGAGGUCGCUCCCCCCAGGCAGUGAGCUCCGGAGUUGUCACACGAUGGGCUAACGUACUUGCCCUUGGACUAACGUACUUGUCCAGCAGACGGUCCCUAGGGUGGUUCGAGUCCCCCGUUAUUAAGGGAUUUUGGGUUGUGAGUUAUUGGGGUUAACAAGUGUUAACCGGUAAGAUUGGGUAAAAGCCAAAGUGAUUGGGAAAAAGCAUGCAUUAUGAGCUAUAGAUUGGGUAUCCUUGUCGAGUGGAUUUUGGGGCUGAGGUGUAUGUGAGACGUCCAUUACCUCGAGUCUGGAUGUAUGCGGUAUUCCGCAGAUGAUUGACUCAAGACCGAGUCGGAUGGAUAGCUUUGUUAAGGUAAUAGAAACCUUAAAGCUAGUGGCAAAGGCAAGAACUAAGGUAGUAGAGACCUUAGAAACAAGUUGAGCUUGGUAAUGGAACUAAGGUAAGUAGAAACCUUAGGGGUAAAGGACUUGAGCUGAGAUUAGCCAGUGGAAUGUAGAGUCAAUGGACCUACUAGUGAAUAGUGGAUUAUAUAGAUGCAUAGUGGCAUAGAAAUGCAUGAUAUCCAUAUUGCAUAUCGUGAGGCAAUGCAAGGUUUCAUUAGUUGCAUAAUUUAGAUAUAUAUAUAUCUAUCUGUUUAUUGAACUAACCUGCAGGUUGCCUCUCUUUGACCUAUUGGUCGAGCUUUUCCCUUGGGUGGCCGUACCCACUGGGAACCAUGGAGUUGGUUCUCACCCCACGUUGUUUUGGGGUGUUACAGGUUCGCACGUGAGCG
This 8856-nucleotide long non-coding RNA is filed under the name Ananas comosus (pineapple). Its description in RNAcentral is "long non-coding RNA (ACOM_LNC013574)". Lineage: Eukaryota; Viridiplantae; Streptophyta; Magnoliopsida; Poales; Bromeliaceae. The record is from RNAcentral.